RNAcentral lists this ribosomal RNA (545 nucleotides) under uncultured Basidiomycota. RNAcentral's name for it is "eukaryotic LSU rRNA". The stretch from base 175 to 328 matches the Rfam family "5.8S ribosomal RNA". The record is from RNAcentral. Lineage: Eukaryota; Fungi; Basidiomycota.
AAGGAUCAUUAACGAGUUCAAAAGUCGGUCGACCGUGCUGGCGGAGACGCAUGUGCACGUCGGUCGCGAACCAUCCACACACCGUGAACCUAUGGCCUGGGGUUUGAGUUCAGACCCUGGGCACCAUUUUUACACUCUGUUCGUAAAGGAAUGUCUUAUAUCAUAUAAACAUACAACUUUCAACAACGGAUCUCUUGGCUCUCGCAUCGAUGAAGAACGCAGCGAAAUGCGAUAAGUAAUGUGAAUUGCAGAAUUCAGUGAAUCAUCGAAUCUUUGAACGCACCUUGCACCCUUUGGUAUUCCGAAGGGUACGCCCGUUUGAGUGUCAUUGUAAUCUCACCCCGAAAUCUUUUUUGGAGUGGACUUGGACGCUGCCGUGUUGCAUGGCUCGUCUCGAACGUCUUAGUAUGCCCCGCCCGUCGGUGUAGACAGCGUGAUAAGUAUCUUCGCUGGUCAAGCCUCUCCGGAGGCGCACCUCGAGCAUGGAAGCCUGCUGCCAACCGUCUUUUGACAACCUUUGACAAUUUGACCUCAGAUCGGGGGGG